AAAGCUCAGAUCGCAAACUUUCUAAUGGUGUGUGUCUUUUGAAAAUCAAAUGAGAAACUAUGACACACUGGCAGUUUAAAAAUAGAUUUUAGCGUAAAGUAACAACUGUUAAAUGUUAAAGGAGCAUACCGAACUAUAACUGAGUGCAAUUAAAUGUUUUCAGAAACCAUGUGUAAAAUGAAUCUUUGAAUCAAAGAAACAUCAAAUAUCACCAAUCAGUGUACUUACAGAACACAACACAUACAGCGCCGCAGCAGCAAGCGAAUUUGCCGCUGCGAAAACCACGCUAUUUUACCUUCUUUCUUGAUUAUUUUACACACACCUGCAUCUGUUCAUAAGACAACAUCAGCUCUCAAAAUUUCAGCUAAACAUUCCAGCAAAAAUAAGUUUUACUGUUUAUCAAGUUGUUGUUGUACAAUUUUGGGUGGAUAGCUAUUUAUUAUAGACAGACGCUAUAUAGGUGAUUAUUCGCCCAAAAAUUAAUAAUUUGAUAUACAUAUAUGUUCUUCUUGAAACUUGUAAUAAGUUCUUCUUUUUCGUAUGUCUAGCCUAUAAUAUACGGUUACAAAAUUUUAAUAUGCUAGAUGUAAGGUAUGCCUCUUUAAUUUGAAUAAAAAAGACAUGGAUCUAAUAGUUCUAUUAUCUUUAUUCUCUUUGUGAAUAUUUGUGUUUUAAUGAAACAGACACUAUUUCUCAUUGGUAUUAUUAUAGUAAUUUUUGAUCAAGCAGAUGGGGGGUUGCCUUGCCCAGCCCAUCAGUGUGUUUCAAGACACUAAGUCUUGAUGGGUUUAGUCAGAGCAGAAUUUCUAGUAUAUAAUGUAACAUUGAUGCAAAUGGUUUGAACGUUAUACUGUUUCAUGGAUGUGACUUUAACAGUGGAGUGGUUUAUUGCACAUCAAAUGCGGGUUUCAACCUUUCUGUGCUGUCAGCGCUUUGAUUGUCAUUAGUUGGACCGAGACAAUCAGGGUAGAUAACUAUGGACUGAUUUUAUAUCAAAUUACCUCCCUUCAUUUCAAAUUAAAAUGGGUAUAUCUCUGUAACUAAUGAAGAUACUGAUCUGAAAUUUCAUUUAUGACAUCAGAUGGACUUGGACUAUCAGUGAAGACUAUAUUGACUGAAUUUAUGACAAAUUACCUCCCUUUAUUUUUUAUGUAAAUGAAUAUACCUAGCAGCUUCUAAUGAGACUGGUUUGAAACGUUAUUUAUGUCUUCCAUGGUAAGAAAUUUCUACUUUUACUUACUUUUCUAAUAUAUUGUUGUAAAGGCUUGUACUCUGUACCUUCUACAUGCAUAUACCAAUGCAUGAUUACCUCCCCUGAUUUUAACAAAAAUGGUUAUCUCAGUAAGUAUUUAUAGGACUCAUUUGAAAUUUCAUUAUUGUCAUUAGUUGGACUGAGACAAUCAGGGUAGAUAAAUAUGGACCGGUUUUUAUGUCAAAUUACCUCCCUUCGUUUCAAAUUAAAAUGGGUGUAUCUCGGUAACCAAUGAAGAUACUGAUUUGAAAUGUCAUAUAUGCCAUCAGAUGGACUCAGACAAUCAGGGUAGAUAACUUUUGACUGAAUUUAUGAUAAAUUACCUCCCUUUAUUUUAUGUAAAUGAAUAUACCUCAGCAGCAUCUAAUGAGAUUGGUUUUAAAUGUUAUUUAAGUUUUCCAGGGUAAGGAAUAGUCAUGCUAGUACAAAAAUGCAGCAUUUGAGCCAAGGACCCUCAAACUUGGUAUGGAGAUUGGCUAUGACUAGUAUGUGACCCAUAGGUCAAAAGGGACUGUUACAAGAAAAUAUUUAUCCUGAUGAUAUUUAAAGUGUAUGCCUAUGUGAUCUAUGUCAAAACUUGAUCUUAUCAUUAAGAGAAAUGGUACUCAGGUGAGCGAUAUAGGGUCAUCAUGGCCCUCUUGUUUAUAUUUUAUUUUUGACAGUGCCGUUUUAAAACAGACUCUGAGCGAUCAUGUUUCGAGGGACUGGGUUCUAAAUUUUUGCAAAAAAGUUUAGAAACGGCAUCGAUCUUUCAUAUUUUAUACUUCAGUUCAUUCAUAUCACCCGGUUUUGUUUCAAGCUGAAGUUGAAAAUGACAGCGAUUAAGCGACUGUAUCCAGCUAUAAUACUCACGUUAUUCAAAUUUGAAAAAAUACACAUACUGAUAAAAAUGGUGGAAGUUUUAUCUGAGUGUUAGAUAUGAAUGCGGUCAAAUGCUGACAAAAACUUAGCCAUAUUUUUACUCUAAACAUAAAUAAAUAAAUAUAUAUUGUUUUUGCUUUGAUGGAAAAGAAUGUAUCAGAAAAUAUAUUUAAAGUAGGCAGUAGUUAUAUCUACUCCUUUUCUGAACUACAAGUAGAUAUUUAAUUGUUUAUUUAGGACGUAAAGCUGGAUGUGAAAUGAAAUCUUCAGCAUACAAGCUGUUUUACAAACCGUCAACGUUUAGAACGGAAAGACGUGACGUUGUCAGAUGGCAUUGAAUUUAGAGGUGCAACGAUUCGCUCCGAUGCAUCGAAAAACCGGUUUUAAACUCGCCGAUUCGAUUCGAUACAGACACCUCAAAAUUCGAUUCGAUCCGCAUUUUAAAAAUGCAUGCCGCAAAUUGCUCUUUGUAUCCCCAUUCUACACAUGUCGACUUUUGUUACGCGGCAUACAAUUGGUCAAUAGUAAAUCUGGCAUCCAAUUAAUAAUAGAGUUGCAUUCUUACUAUACAAGUAACAUGGCGUCUCAAACAUUGAAAGACGCUCCGAAAAAUCUAAAAUCAAAGGUGUGGGAACAUUUUGGUUUCCGCGAGGGAUCAGAACAAAAAGCCACAUGUAAAAUGUGUUACGCGGAUGUAAGUUACCCCAAGUCCGGCAGUACGACCAGUCUUAUGCAGCAUAUGAAAAGAAAACACUCCAUUGAUGUGUUAGAAUUGAAGUCCAACAGAUCGUCAACUUCGAGUCGUUCGACAUGUACAACAUCCACUGGUCAGAUGUAACUGACUGAUUUGAAAACUAAACUAACAUCUGACAGAUCAAACUUGAUAUCCGAAUUCAUUGCUGGUUUUUAGCUCACCUGAGCACGAGAUGCUCAAGGUGAGCUUUUGUGAUCGCCCUGUGUCCGUCGUCCGUCGUCCGUCCGUCCGUCCGUCGUCAACAAUUUGGCUGUAUACACUCAAGAGGUCACAAUUUUGGCCUAAUCUUAAUGAAACUCGGUCAGAAUGUUACCCUCAUAAAAAUCUUGGACGAAUUCGAUAUUGGGUCAUCUGGGGUCAAAAACUAGGUCACCAGGUCAAAUCAAAGGAAAAGCUUGUUAACACUCUAGAGGUCACAAUUUUGGCCCAAUCUUGUGAAACUUGGUCAGAAUGUUACCCUCAAUAAAAUCUUGGAUGAGUUUGAUAUCGGGUCAUCUGGGGUCAAAAACUAGGUCACCAGGUCAAAUCAAAGGAAAAGCUUGUUAACACUGUAGAGGCCACAUUUAUAUUUGUAUCUUCAUGAAACUUGGUCAGAAUGUUACUCAUGAUGAUCUCAAAGUCCAGUUUGAAUCUGGGUCAUGUAGGUUCAAGAACUAGGUCACCAGGUCAAAUCAAAGGAAAAGCUAGUUAACACUCUAGAGGCCACAUUUAUGACCAUAUCCAGGGUUCGCACAGGUCUGGAAAAGUCAUGGAAAACGAGAUUUGUUUGGAAAAGUCAGGGAAAAUUGAAUUUUUGCAUUUUGUCAUGGAAAUGUCAUGGAAAAUUUAAAAAUCGUCAUGGAAAGUAGGAAAGUGAUCAGGAAUAAGUCUGUAUGUGCAUAAAAUGAUUACAUCUGUUUUAAUUUAAUAUCAGAAAAAUCCAGAUUUAAACGCGUAAUCGAACAAUCAGUAAUUUACGUCAAUAUUGGGGUCGAAUCUGGUUGGGUACGAAAUGACCGUUAAGUUUACUAUUGCACCGUUCCAGGUUUAUUUUCGUUGUACUUUUAAAAACGAAACUAAGCGUGAAAUAGCUAAAAAUAGUAAAAUAUGAGUCAGAAAAGAAGUUGCCGAUACAACACUAACUGGGAAAGGAAUGAACAGUACAAAGCAUGGUUAAAGCCUUUCAAGUUGGAUAACAGGAGAGCCUUAUGCACCGUCUGUGACAAACUUAUCGAUCUGUCAAAUAUGGGCGAAACUGCAAUAAAAUCGCACAUGAAAGGUGGAAAACACGUUGCAAGCAUUAAACUCCGUGAUAAAACGACAAAAACAUGUGACACAUUAAAAUCUUUUUUCAAACCUGUGGAAACUGUCGUGUCUGAUAUGUGUAUUCCCCCACCCACUCAAGAACAAUGUCCAAGACAAAGUGCCAGUGGGAUAGACUCCUUUGUGUCUAAGGAGGAUGUAACAAGGGCUGAAAUAUUAUGGACACUGAAACUAAUAACAUCACAUCAAUCAUUGCAUUUAUUUCGAGUUUCGUAUGUUUGGAUUGCGUCAUGGAAAACCAGGCAAUGUCAUGGAAAAGUCAUGGAAAAGUCACGGAAUUCUUGUAUCCAAGAUCUGUAUGAACCCUGAUAUCUUAAUUUUGGCUCAAUCUUAAUGAAACUUGGUCAGAAUGUUACCCUUAAUAAAAUCUUGGACGAGUUCGAUAUUGGGUCAUCUGGGGUGAAAAACUAGGUCACCAGGUCAAAUCAAAGGAAAAGCUUGUUAACACUGUAGAGGCCACAUUUUUGACUGUAUCUUCAUGAAUCUUGGUCAGAAUGUUUAUCUUGAUGGUCUCAAGGUCCAGUUUGAAUCUGGGCCAUGUAGGGUCAAAAACUAGGGUCACCAGGUCAAAUCAAGCUAGUUAAAACUGUAGAGACCACAUUUAUGACCAUAUCUUAAUGAAACUUGGUCAGAAUGUUAAUCUUGAUGAUCUAUAGGUCAAGUUUUAAUCUGGGUCAGGUGAGAUCAAAAACUAGGUUACUAGGUCAAAUCAAAGGAAAAGCUUGUUAACACUCUAGAGGCCACAUUUAUAACUUUAUCUUCAUGAAACUUAAGAAUGUUAAUCUUGAUGAUCUUUAAGUCAAGUUCGAAUCUGGGUGAUGUGGGGUCAAAAACUAGGUCACCGGGUCAAAUCAGAGGAAAAGCUAGUUAACGCUUUAGAAACAAAAUUUCUGACCAUAUCUUAAUGAAACCUUGUCAGAAUGUUAAUUUUGAUGAUCUUAGAUCAAUAGGUCAGGCGAGCGAUACAGGGCCUUCAUGGCCCUCUUGUUUAGCGCAAGAUAUUCGCCCUUACAGCACAGUUCAAAGUUGUGGUUUCAUAAACAUGGUGAAUAUAUUGGAGCCAAGGUAUAAACUUCCAAGUCGUACACACUUUAGUGAAACUGUCAUGCCAGCACUCUGGAAAACCGUUGUAGAUCCGGUGAAAAGGCAACUUCAAAAUGCUGACAGCAUUGCUAUCACAACAGAUUCAUGGACUUCGAGAGCAACAGAGAAUUAUGUAGCUGUUACAGCCCAUUUUAUCAAUAAAGACUGGCAAGUUGAAAACUACAGCCUUGAAACAAAACUAUUCGGUGAAUCUCAUACAUCUGCAAAUUUGGCCAAUGGUCUGAAGGAGACAGUUACCCACUGGCAACUUGAACGCAAUGGCAAGGAUCCUGCCAUUACCACUGACAAUGCUAGUAACAUCGUUCAGGCAGUUAAGGAAUCGGGUUUGGGUCCACAUAUUGGAUGUUUCGCUCACACCAUAAACCUGGCAACACAACGUGGGCUGAAAGUUCCACAAGUAGAUAGACUUUUGGGUAGGGUGCGGCGUGUGGUAACAUAUUUUCAUAAAAGUACAUCAGCCAUAGCCUGCCUCAAGCUAAUGCAGACAAGACUUGAUGUUGCUCAGCACAAAUUGCUGCUUGAUGUUCCAACCAGGUGGAAUUCUAGUUUUGAUAUGUGUGAACGAUAUUUAGAGCAACAAGCACCUGUAUAUGCUGCAGUGAUUGAACUGAAAAAAAGUCAGUGAUGUAGUAACAUUAUCAGAAGGUGAUGUACAGAACAUUGAAGAAUUAGUACAAAUUCUGAGACCACUGAAGACUGUUACAACCAUGAUGUGUAGCCAGCCGACAGUGUCACUUAUACACCCUCUGAAAGAAAUGCUUCUCAAACAUCUUGAGGUCUCACCCUCUGACAACACACUGGUGUCAGAUAUCAAGACAGCAAUCAGCUCUGACCUCAAGCCAAGGUACACUGGCGAAAGUAUUCUGGGGUUCCUUUUGCAGACUUCAGCCCUUGAUCCGCGGUUUAAGAGCCUACCUGGAUGUUGCUUCCCGAUGUGAUGUGUACGACAGUAUCAAAAUAGCAGUGAAUGAUUCUACCAUUCAGAAUGUGACUGUGAAAGAGGAACCUGAGGACAGUGAUCACGAAAUGCCUUCUACUAGCGAGCCUCCGGUCCCUGCCUUACCGGCACUGGAGGAAGGUGAACCCCCUGUGAAAAUAAAAAAGGAAGUUAUAAUUUAUGAACGUACAUCAAGUGGUGGUCUGACUUGUUUGGUGAUGUUUUUAUGCCCCCAAAGGGAGGCAUAUAGUUUUUGAACCGUCUGUCCGUCCGUCGGUUUGUCGGUCUGUCCGCAAUUUUCGUGUCCGGUCCAUAUCUUUGUCAUCGAUGGAUGGAUUUUCAAAUAACUUGGCAUGAAUGUGUACCACAGUAAGACGACGUGUCGCGCGCAAGACCCAGGUCCGUAGCUCAAAGGUCAAGGUCACAGACGUUAAAGGUCAUUUUUCAUGAUAGUGCAUUCGUGUCCGGUCCAUAUCUUUGUCAUCCAUGGAUGGAUUUUCAAAUAACUUGGCAUGAAUGUGUACCACAGUAAGACGACGUGUCGCACGCAAGACCCAGGUCCGUAGCUCAAAGGUCAAGGUCACACUUAGACGUUAAAGGUCAUUUUUCAUGAUAGUGCAUUCGUGUCCGGUUCAUAUCUUUGUCAUCCAUGGAUGGAUUUUCAAAUAACUUGGCAUGAAUGUGUACCACAGUAAGACGACGUGUCGCCCACAAGACCCAGGUCUGUAGCUCAAAGGUUAAGG
This is a long non-coding RNA of Mercenaria mercenaria, 6953 nucleotides long. RefSeq lists it as uncharacterized. NCBI's taxonomy places the organism in Eukaryota, Metazoa, Mollusca, Bivalvia, Venerida, Veneridae. The transcript has 3 exons. The record is from RefSeq and is a predicted model, not a curated record.